Molecule: ribosomal RNA, 740 nt
Filed under: uncultured Terriglobales bacterium
Lineage: Bacteria; Pseudomonadati; Acidobacteriota; Terriglobia; Terriglobales
Description: bacterial SSU rRNA
Rfam family: Bacterial small subunit ribosomal RNA
Source: RNAcentral
CCCCCAAGUAGAGCGGCGAACGGGUGAGUAACGCGUGGGUGAUCUACCUUCGAGUGGGGAACAACACCGGGAAACUGGUGCUAAUACCGCAUGACAUCCUCGGGUCAAUCCGAGGAUCAAAGCCGGGGACCGCGAGGCCUGGCGCUUGAAGAUGAGCCCGCGUCCGAUUAGCUAGUAGGCGGGGUAACGGCCCACCUAGGCUUCGAUCGGUAGCCGGCCUGAGAGGGCGGACGGCCACACUGGGACUGAGACACGGCCCAGACUCCUACGGGAGGCAGCAGUGGGGAAUUUUUCGCAAUGGGGGAAACCCUGACGAAGCAACGCCGCGUGGAGGAUGAAGGCCUUCGGGUCGUAAACUCCUGUCGACCGGGAAGAAUGCACCUGACCUAAUACGUCGGCGUGUUGACUGUACCGGUGGAGGAAGCCACGGCUAACUCUGUGCCAACAGCCGCGGUAAUACAGAGGUGGCAAGCGUUGUUCGGAAUUACUGAGCGUAAAGGGCGCGCAGGCGGCCCGUCAAGUCCCGUGUGAAAGCCCCCGGCUCAACCGGGGAACGGCGCGGGAAACUAGCAGGCUUGAGUUCGGGAGAGGGAAGCGGAAUUCCGGGUGUAGCGGUGAAAUGCGCAGAUAUCCGGAGGAACGCCGGUGGCGAAGGCGGCUUCCUGGACCGACACUGACGCUGUGGCGCGAAAGCUAGGGGAGCAAACGGGAUUAGAUACCCCGGUAGUCCUAGCCCUAAA